Molecule: long non-coding RNA, 79 nt
Organism: Felis catus (domestic cat)
Lineage: Eukaryota; Metazoa; Chordata; Mammalia; Carnivora; Felidae
Rfam family: ST7 overlapping transcript 3 conserved region 1
Source: Rfam
AAAGGACCUGUAUAAAACAAAAGAUGGCCAAGAAGUAGAAGGAAAAUUAAACUAAAGCCGGGAGUUCAGCUUUGCUUAA